RNAcentral lists this ribosomal RNA (254 nucleotides) under uncultured bacterium. Its description in RNAcentral is "partial 16S ribosomal RNA". It matches the Rfam family "Bacterial small subunit ribosomal RNA", at positions 524 to 776 of the family's 1533-position model. The record is from RNAcentral.
UACGUAGGGGGCGAGCAUUGUCCGGAUUUAUUGGGCGUAAAGAGCUCGUAGGCGGUUUGGUAAGUUGGAUGUGAAAUCUCCAGGCUCAACUUGGAGGGGUCAUUCGAUACUGCCAUGGCUAGAGUUCGGUAGGGGAGUGUGGAAUUCCUGGUGGAGCGGUGAAAUGCGCAGAUAUCAGGAGGAACACCCGUAGCGAAGGCGGCACUCUGGGCCGGAACUGACGCUGAGGAGCGAAAGCGUGGGGAGCGAACAGG